This 255-nucleotide ribosomal RNA is filed under the name Escherichia coli. RNAcentral's name for it is "partial 16S ribosomal RNA". It matches the Rfam family "Bacterial small subunit ribosomal RNA", at positions 899 to 1154 of the family's 1533-position model. The record is from RNAcentral. Lineage: Bacteria; Pseudomonadati; Pseudomonadota; Gammaproteobacteria; Enterobacterales; Enterobacteriaceae.
ACUCAAAUGAAUUGACGGGGGCCCGCACAAGCGGUGGAGCAUGUGGUUUAAUUCGAUGCAACGCGAAGAACCUUACCUGGUCUUGACAUCCACAGAACUUUCCAGAGAUGGAUUGGUGCCUUCGGGAACUGUGAGACAGGUGCUGCAUGGCUGUCGUCAGCUCGUGUUGUGAAAUGUUGGGUUAAGUCCCGCAACGAGCGCAACCCUUAUCCUUUGUUGCCAGCGGUCCGGCCGGGAACUCAAAGGAGACUGCCA